Long non-coding RNA from Chinchilla lanigera (long-tailed chinchilla), 1086 nucleotides. RefSeq lists it as uncharacterized. Lineage: Eukaryota; Metazoa; Chordata; Mammalia; Rodentia; Chinchillidae. The transcript has 4 exons. The record is from RefSeq and is a predicted model, not a curated record.
AGGCACGUCGUCUUGUAGGUCGUCUGAGAAGAUGCAGCUAAUAGACACAGAUUUGGUGAUUUGUGAGAGCAAGGGUUUCUUCUAGUUUUCUUACUGCUACUGCAUGGGAUUUUGAAGUUUGUUUGUAUUUGUUUAGAUUCAGUGGCUCAACUUUUUCCUUCAGUGGGGACAGAAGAGCUCCAUGUCGCACUGUGUGUGUCUGUCUAGAUGCAAAAGUUGGAGGGCUUCUGAUUGGAAACCUUCCAAGGUGACCACAAGCGGAUGAGUUCAAAUGACCCAGCACUGUGCAGAAGGAAGCAACUGAGAAAGACUCACAUAACAUAGCUCAUAAACUCUUUUCUUGGUACCAGCAUUACCAUAAAAUGACAAAAUCCAGCAGGAACUAUGAAAAGUCAACGUCCCAUUUAAAACUACCUCAGGACUUUGGAAGACACUCAGGUUUAUCUCUGGAGGACAAAUAAUCAGAACAUUCAGGUGAAAACUCUGUGGUGAUGGGACUGUAUGCACUACAACAAUACAGAACAACACAGGUGAAUUACACAAGCAUCAUGAUGAAGAGAAGUAUCGAAUCAGAAGAAUACUGAAUACACAGCCCUAUCUGAAUAACUCUGAAAGCAGGAAAAACAAAUCCAUGGUGUAAGAAGUCACAGAAAUUUCUGUCCUUGUCAAGUGGAUAUCAUAGGGACCAGAAGGCACAUACACAAGUGCCUUUUAGAGUGAUGAUGACACUCCAUGUCUUGGUUUGGGUAUUGGUUACUAGCAUGUGCUCAUUGUAUAAUUUUUCUCCCAGCUUAAUAUGGCUUCUCUUGGACUCCUGGUCUUAAAACUGAAAAAAUGGUUAUGAGUGGAUACCAAGUUUCAUAGAAUGUUUGAAACUUAAAUAAAAUAAUUUAAAUUUUAGAUUAGGAUAUUUGUGGUUUAUUGCCAAAAGGACUACUCUGUAGGAAGUGGAAGUCUAGGGAUACUAUGGUGAUUAUUACCUCCAAACUUUAAAGACAGAGUCAUGGAUGACCAGGUAUCUAACAUAAUGUGGUGAGCUAAUUCAAAAGCAGAUCUCUGACACUUCAAGCCAUCAGGAAGCUCCUG